RNAcentral lists this transfer RNA (75 nucleotides) under Aurantiacibacter zhengii. Its description in RNAcentral is "Erythrobacter sp. V18 tRNA-Lys". The record is from RNAcentral. Lineage: Bacteria; Pseudomonadati; Pseudomonadota; Alphaproteobacteria; Sphingomonadales; Erythrobacteraceae.
GAGUAUUAUAUGGGAAACGGCGACACAUGACUUUUAAUCAGUAGGUCGCUGGUUCGAACCCAGCAGGGCUCACCA